This 50-nucleotide non-coding RNA is filed under the name Trypanosoma brucei brucei. The record is from RNAcentral. Lineage: Eukaryota; Euglenozoa; Kinetoplastea; Trypanosomatida; Trypanosomatidae.
ACAUAUAAACUCACUACAUAGAUGCCGUAUAUAGAUUGUUAUGUGAGAAU